This 465-nucleotide ribosomal RNA is filed under the name uncultured bacterium. RNAcentral's name for it is "partial 16S ribosomal RNA". It matches the Rfam family "Bacterial small subunit ribosomal RNA", at positions 338 to 795 of the family's 1533-position model. The record is from RNAcentral.
CCUACGGGAGGCAGCAGUGGGGAAUAUUGCGCAAUGGGCGAAAGCCUGACGCAGCGACGCCGCGUGAGGGAUGAAGGUCUUCGGAUCGUAAACCUCUGUCAGCAGGGAAGAACGGUCACUGUGCUAAUCAGCAGUGAAUUGACGGUACCUGCAAAGGAAGCACCGGCGCAAUCCGUGCCAGCAGCCGCGGUAAUACGGAGGGUGCGAGCGUUAAUCGGAAUUAAUGGGCGUAAAGCGCUCGUAGGCGGUAGGUCAAGUCAAGGGUGAAAUCCGCGCGCUCAACGUGGGAACUGCCGUUGAAACUGGAAGACUGGAGUGUGUGAGAGGAUAGUGGAAUGCCUGGUGUAGGGGUGAAAUCCGUAGAUAUCAGGAGGAACAUCAGUGGCGAAGGCGACUAACUGGCACGUAACUGACGCUGAGGAGCGAAAGCGUGGGUAGCGAACAGGAUUAGAUACCCGAGUAGUC